Long non-coding RNA from Dermochelys coriacea (leatherback sea turtle), 689 nucleotides. RefSeq lists it as uncharacterized. NCBI's taxonomy places the organism in Eukaryota, Metazoa, Chordata, Testudines, Dermochelyidae. The transcript has 2 exons. The record is from RefSeq and is a predicted model, not a curated record.
GCUCAUCAAUCUUGUGGUGGAAGGCCAUAAGGGACCUAAGACAUACUCUAAUUGAACUUCAGGACUGUCCUGACUUUUUUUAGCUCUAUGAUGUAGUCCAGUACCAGUGGCAAGGGAGAGGUUUCAGCUGUGGCAUGUUUAUUGUCACACCAGGUCUGGAAUCUCUUCCAUUUCUGCAGGUAAAUAUAUUGCAUCGUUGAUCUUCUGCUAUUUCAUAGCAUCUCCUUUACAUCUUGAGAACAGGUCAUUUGAUAUUCUGGAGCCAUGCUUUCACAUGGAGAAUCUUAAGGUUCGGAUGGUGCAUCUGGCCUGCAUCUGAGACAGGAGAUGUGGAACUGGGUGAAGAAUGACUGGUGGACAUACCACCAUCCAUAAGAGGUGUGUAGAGACUUAAAGACUGAAGAAUUGCCCUAGAAUCUCUUAAAGAACGGGGAGAUUCAUCCGUCUUGUCCGCAAACAAUUUGGAUUCUUCAAAGGGAAUAUCCUGUACCUCUUUUGGAAACCCCAAGAGGUGGAGCCAUGACACCCUUCACAUGACUACAGCUGUAGAAAUAGAUCAUGCAGCUAUAUCAGCUGCAUCCAAGGAAGCUUGUAAAGUUGUCCUAGCCAGAAGGUGAACCUUGGAGAUAAUUGCCUGGAAUUGUUCUUUUUUGUCAUCAGGAAAGUAAUCAAAUUCAUUCCGCUUUGAA